Molecule: non-coding RNA, 28 nt
Filed under: unclassified sequences
Description: L19-Flavobacteria ribosomal protein leader
Rfam family: L19-Flavobacteria ribosomal protein leader
Source: RNAcentral
CAACCUCUGGCGAAACUCGUGCAUGUUG